This 3083-nucleotide ribosomal RNA is filed under the name Elusimicrobiota bacterium. RNAcentral describes it as "bacterial LSU rRNA". It matches the Rfam family "Bacterial large subunit ribosomal RNA". The record is from RNAcentral. Lineage: Bacteria; Pseudomonadati; Elusimicrobiota.
AAAUAAUAUGGUCAAGUAAAAAAGGGCGUACAGUGGAUGCCUUGGCAGAUGAAGUCUAUGAAGGACGUGGUAAGCUGCGAUAAGCGUCGGAGAGGUGCAAACAACCUUUGACCCGGCGAUUUCCGAAUAGGGAAACCUUUCCUAUAGUAAUGUAGGAAAUCCUUAACUGAAAUUUAAAAUAGGUUAAGGAAGACAACCCGGUGAAGUGAAACAUCUCAGUAACCGGAGGAAUAGAAAACAAUAGUGAUUCCGAAAGUAGUGGCGAGCGAAAUCGGAACAGCCCAAACCAUCAUGCUUGCAUGAUGGGGUUGUAGGACCGCGUGAGUAAAGUCAAAAAUUCUAAUUUUAGGUGAACUGUUCUGGAAAGACAGACCAAAGAAGGUGAUAGUCCUGUAGGUGAAAAAAUUAGAACUUGAAGCGGUAUCCUGAGUAAUGCGGGACACGAGGAAUCCCGUAUGAAUCUGGGUCGACCACGACCCAAGGCUAAAUACUCUCAUCUGACCGAUAGUGAACUAGUACCGCGAGGGAAAGGCGAAAAGAACCCCUGACGGGGAGUGAAAAGAACCUGAAACUGUAUGCUUACAAGCUACCAGAGUGCUAUGCCGAUUACGAAAAUUUCGACUUGUCGGAAUUGUUAGUGUCGGAACGCAUUAUGGUGUGCCUGUUGAAGAAUGAACCUGCGAGUUAUUGGAUCGAGCAAGAUUAAUUCUGAUGUUAACGCUUCAGAAGGAGUCGGAGCGAAAGCGAGUCUGAAUAGGGCGAUUAGUUCGAUUUAAUAGACCCGAAGCCAAGUGAUCUAACCCUGGACAGAGUGAAGUUUCGGUAAAACGAAAUGGAGGCUCGAACUGUUGAGUGUUGAAAAACUCCUAGAUGAGCUGGGGUUAGGGGUGAAAGGCUAAUCUAACUUGGUUAUUGCUGGUUCUCCCCGAAAUAGCUUUAGGGCUAGCCUGUUGUGUUCAAUAUAGGUGGUAGAGCACUGGAUAGAGUAGGUGCCUUAACCAGGUUACCAAAUUUAACCAAACUCCGAAUGCCUAUAUUCUAUAACAAUGGAGUCAGUUCGUGAGGGAUAAGCUUCACGUGCAAAAGGGGAACAGCCCAGACCGUCGGUUAAGGUCCCAAAAUUUAUGCUAAGUGGCAAAGGAUGUAGAGUUACUUAAACAGCCAGGAUGUUGGCUUAGAAGCAGCCACCAUUUAAAGAAAGCGUAACAGCUCACUGGUCGAGUGAUUCUGCGCCGAAGAUUUCCGGGGCUAAAGCAUAAUACCGAAACCACGGCUGUAUUUUCGACUUCGGUUGAAAAUACGGGGUAGGGGAGCGUUCUGUAUUAGAGUGAAGGCAUACCGAAAGGAGUGCUGGACGAAACAGAAGUGAGGAUGCAGGUAUAAGUAGCGAGAAGGCAGGUGAGAAUCCUGUCCGCCGAAAAUCUAAGGUUUCCUUGAGCAACGUUCGUCGACUCAGGGUUAGUCGGCCCUAAGCCGAGUCCCUUGUUAAUGGGGGGUAGGCGAAGGACAUCCGGUUAAUAUUCCGGAACCAUAUUUGUAACGUUAUUAGUUUUAAGUGACGCAGGAGGGUAGACUUGGUCCGCGAUUGAAUGUGCGGAUUUGUCCCGACGGAAGUUAGGAUGACCAGUUCCGAGCAAUCGGAAUGAAGCUGUCAAACCACACUGCCAAGAAAAUCCUUAAGGCGAGUUGCAAGUAUGUCCGUACCGCAAACCGACACAGGUAGAUGGGUAGAAAAUACUAAGGCGCGCGAAUGAUCUAUCGUUUAGGAACUCGGCAAAAUAGCCUCGUAACUUCGGAAGAAGAGGUGCCUGAGUAGUACUUAUGGAAAGUAAAUUAGAUAAGGUUGGAGAAGGGGUUAUACCCUUCACUUCCGGAUUCUGUUUAUCGGAAAUAUGGAACGAAAAGGUUACAAUAAAGUGGCCCCUGCGACUGUUUAACAAAAACACAGGACUCUGCUUAAAUCGAAAGAUGAUGUAUAGGGUCUGACGCCUGCCCGGUGCUGGAAGGUUAAUGAGAGAGGUCAUUGAGGAUUUAUCCUCGAGAAGCUUUGAACUGAAGCCCCAGUAAACGGCGGCCGUAACUAUAACGGUCCUAAGGUAGCGAAAUUCCUUGUCGGGUAAGUUCCGACCUGCACGAAUGGCGUAACGAUGGGGGCGCUGUCUCAACGAUAGGUUCGGCGAAAUUGUGCUGUCAGUGAAGACGCUGACUGCCCGCAACUAGACGGAAAGACCCCGUGGAGCUUUACUGCAAUUUAAUCUUGGAUUAUGGGAUUGUCUGCGUAGAAUAGGUGGGACCCUUUGAAGUUUCGCUUUUGGGCGGAAUGGAGGGAACAGUGAAAUACCACCCUGAUACUUCUGUGGUUCUAAUCUCAUGCCAUGAAACUGGCUGGGAAACAGGGUUUGAUGGGCAGUUUAACUGGGGCGGUUUUCUCCUAAAUUGUAACGGAGAAGUUCAAAGGUCACCUCAGCGCGAAUAGAAAUCGCGCAUUGAAUGCAAGGGUAUAUGGUGGCUUGACUGCAAGACAGACAAGUCGAGCAGGUGCGAAAGCAGGACCUAGUGAUCCGGUGCCGGUUUGUGGAAAUGGCAUCGCUCAACGGAUAAAAGCUACCCCGGGGAUAACAGGCUUAUUUGGUCCAAGAGUCCAUAUCGACGACCAAGUUUGGCACCUCGAUGUCGGAUCAUCCUAUCCUGGGGCUGGAGUAGGUCCCAAGGGUUUGGCUGUUCGCCAAUUAAAAGGGUACGUGAUCUGGGUUCAGUACGUCGUGAGACAGUACGGUCCCUAUCUGUUGCGGGUGAAGGAAAUUUGAGGGGAGCUGAUCAUAGUACGAGAGGACCUGAUUGGACGAACCUCUGGCGUACCAGUUGUUCCGUCAGGAGCAGCGCUGGGUAACCAAGUUCGGACGGGAUAAAUGCUGAAAGCAUAUAAGCAUGAAACCCACCCCAAAACAAUAUUUCCCAAAUAUUAGCUGCAAGGUUAAUAUUAAGAAGGCCACUUGUAGAUUACAAGUUUGAUAGGCAGGAGGUGUAAGUCCUGAGAGGGAUUGAGCUGACCUGUACUAAUCGGCCGUUUGACUUGACCGUAU